AUGGGUAUUAACCACACUGACCGUUCUUCCCUGCUGACAGAGCUUUACGACCCAAAGGCCUUCAUCACUCACGCGGCGUCCCUGGAUCAGGCUUGCGCCCAUUGUCCAGAAUUCCUCACUGCUGCCUCCCGUAGG
RNAcentral lists this ribosomal RNA (135 nucleotides) under uncultured bacterium. RNAcentral describes it as "partial 16S ribosomal RNA". The record is from RNAcentral.